This 92-nucleotide transfer RNA is filed under the name Lentinula raphanica. Its description in RNAcentral is "tRNA-Ala". It matches the Rfam family "tRNA". From Rfam's summary of the family: Transfer RNA (tRNA) molecules are approximately 80 nucleotides in length. Their secondary structure includes four short double-helical elements and three loops (D, anti-codon, and T loops). Further hydrogen bonds mediate the characteristic L-shaped molecular structure. tRNAs have two regions of fundamental functional importance: the anti-codon, which is responsible for specific mRNA codon recognition, and the 3' end, to which the tRNAs corresponding amino acid is attached (by aminoacyl-tRNA synthetases). tRNAs cope with the degeneracy of the genetic code in two manners: having more than one tRNA (with a specific anti-codon) for a particular amino acid; and 'wobble' base-pairing, i.e. permitting non-standard base-pairing at the 3rd anti-codon position. Lineage: Eukaryota; Fungi; Basidiomycota; Agaricomycetes; Agaricales; Omphalotaceae. The record is from RNAcentral.
GGGCACGUAGCGUAGGGGUUAUCGCGCUCGCUUUGCAUAACGAUGAAUUGACAUGUUGCGAGAGGUCUCCGGUUCAAUUCCGGACGUGUCCA